UACGUAGGGGGCUAGCGUUGUCCGGAAUCAUUGGGCGUAAAGAGCGUGUAGGCGGUUUGGUAAGUCCGCUGUGAAAGUCCAGGGCUCAACCCUGGAAAGCCAGUGGAAACUGUCAAGCUAGAGUCCGGAAGAGGCGAGUGGAACUCCUGGUGUAGCGGUGAAAUGCGCAGAUAUCAGGAAGAACACCAAUGGCGAAGGCAGCUCGCUGGGACGGUACUGACGCUGAGACGCGAAAGCGUGGGGAGCAAACAGG
Molecule: ribosomal RNA, 253 nt
Filed under: uncultured bacterium
Lineage: Bacteria
Description: partial 16S ribosomal RNA
Rfam family: Bacterial small subunit ribosomal RNA
Source: RNAcentral